This 75-nucleotide transfer RNA is filed under the name Nitrospiraceae bacterium. RNAcentral describes it as "tRNA-Val". It matches the Rfam family "tRNA". Rfam says of the family: Transfer RNA (tRNA) molecules are approximately 80 nucleotides in length. Their secondary structure includes four short double-helical elements and three loops (D, anti-codon, and T loops). The record is from RNAcentral. Lineage: Bacteria; Pseudomonadati; Nitrospirota; Nitrospiria; Nitrospirales; Nitrospiraceae.
GGGCGAUUAGCUCAGCGGGAGAGCACUGCCUUCACACGGCAGGGGUCGCAGGUUCAAGCCCUGCAUCGCCCACCA